GACGAACGCUGGCGGCGUGCCUAACACAUGCAAGUCGAACGGAGAUAUGAUUUCGGUUGUAUCUUAGUGGCGAACGGGUGAGUAACGCGUGAACAACCUGACUCUAAGAGGGGGAUAACACUCGGAAACGGGUGCUAAUACCGCAUAAGACCACGACCUGGCAUCAGGAUGAGGUCAAAGGAGCAAUCCGCUGAGAGAGGGGUUCGCGUCCCAUUAGAUAGAUGGCGGGGUAACGGCCCACCAUGUCAACGAUGGGUAGCCGAGCUGAGAGGCUGAUCGGCCACACUGGAACUGAGACACGGUCCAGACUCCUACGGGAGGCAGCAGUGGGGAAUAUUGGGCAAUGGGCGCAAGCCUGACCCAGCAACGCCGCGUGAGGGAAGAAGGCUUUCGGGUGUAAACCUCUGUCCUUGGUGACGAAACAAAUGACGGUAGCCAAGGAGGAAGCCCCGGCUAACUACGUGCCAGCAGCCGCGGUAAU
This 481-nucleotide ribosomal RNA is filed under the name uncultured bacterium. Its description in RNAcentral is "bacterial SSU rRNA". It matches the Rfam family "Bacterial small subunit ribosomal RNA", at positions 28 to 524 of the family's 1533-position model. The record is from RNAcentral.